This 1039-nucleotide ribosomal RNA is filed under the name Plasmodium inui. RNAcentral describes it as "SSU rRNA". It matches the Rfam family "Eukaryotic small subunit ribosomal RNA". The record is from RNAcentral. Lineage: Eukaryota; Apicomplexa; Aconoidasida; Haemosporida; Plasmodiidae.
GGAUAACUACGGAAAAGCUGUAGCUAAUACUUGCUUUAGCACUCUUGAUUAAGUUCUUGAGUGUGUACUUGUUAAGCCUUUUAAGAAAAAAGUUAUUAACUUAAGGAAUUAUAACAAAGAAGCAACACGUAAAUGGAUUUUCCAUUUUUUAGUGUGUAUCAAUCGAGUUUCUGACCUAUCAGCUUUUGAUGUUAGGGUAUUGGCCUAACAUGGCUAUGACGGGUAACGGGGAAUUAGAGUUCGAUUCCGGAGAGGGAGCCUGAGAAAUAGCUACCACAUCUAAGGAAGGCAGCAGGCGCGUAAAUUACCCAAUUCUAAAGAAGAGAGGUAGUGACAAGAAAUAACAAUACAAGGCCAAUCUGGCUUUGUAAUUGGAAUGAUGGGAAUUUAAAACCUUCCCAAAACUCAAUUGGAGGGCAAGUCUGGUGCCAGCAGCCGCGGUAAUUCCAGCUCCAAUAGCGUAUAUUAAAAUUGUUGCAGUUAAAACGCUCGUAGUUGAAUUUCAAAGAAUCGAUAUUUUAAGUAGCACUUUGUAGAUUAAUCCACAUAACUGAUACUACGUAUCGACUUUGUGCGCAUUUUUCUACUUAUGUGUUCUUUUAAUUAAAAUGAUUCUUUUUAAGAUCUUUCUUUUUUGCUUCGGCAUUUUAGGAGAUCUUGUUACUUUGAGUAAAUUAGAGUGUUCAAAGCAAACAGAUUAUAGCAUCUUUAUGCGUUUGAAUACUACAGCAUGGAAUAACAAAAUUGAACAAGUCAGAAUUUUGUUCUUUUUUCUUAUUUUGGCUUAGUUACGAUUAAUAGGAGUAGCUUGGGGGCAUUUGUAUUCAGAUGUCAGAGGUGAAAUUCUUAGAUUUUCUGGAGACAAACAACUGCGAAAGCAUUUGCCUAAAAUACUUCCAUUAAUCAAGAACGAAAGUUAAGGGAGUGAAGACGAUCAGAUACCGUCGUAAUCUUAACCAUAAACUAUGCCGACUAGGCUUUGGAUGAAAGAUUUUAAAAUAAGAGUUUUUUCUCUGAGGAGUUAAAACUCUUAGAUUGC